RNAcentral lists this ribosomal RNA (468 nucleotides) under uncultured bacterium. RNAcentral's name for it is "partial 16S ribosomal RNA". It matches the Rfam family "Bacterial small subunit ribosomal RNA", at positions 28 to 507 of the family's 1533-position model. The record is from RNAcentral.
GACGAACGCUGGCGGCGUGCUUAACACAUGCAAGUCGAACGGAAAGGCCCUGCUUUUGUGGGGCGCUCGAGUGGCGAACGGGUGAGUAACACGUGAGUAACCUGCCCUUGACUUUGGGAUAACUCUAGGAAACUGGGGCUAAUACCGGAUAGGAGCUCCUGCUGCAUGGUGGGGGUUGGAAAGUUUCGGCGGUUGGGGAUGGACUGGCGGCUUAUCAGCUUGUUGGUGGGGUAGUGGCUUACCAAGGCUUUGACGGGUAGCCGGCCUGAGAGGGUGACCGGCGACAUUGGGACUGAGAUACGGCCCAGACGCGUACGGGAGGCAGCAGGGGGGAAUAUUGCAGAAUGGGCGGAAGCCUGAGGCAGCAGCGCCGCGUGCGGGAUAACGGCCUUCGAGUGGUAAACCGCUUUCGCCGGUGACGAAGCGGGAGUGACGGUAAUGAGUAAAGAAGCACCGGCUAACUACGUG